CAUAUUUUUCUGCUUUCCUCAGAUUGGUUUCCAAAGGCAUUUUUCACCUUGAUCCAAAUGAGGUUUUCUGCUGUUGAAGGCUAUUACAUUGGAAGCAAAAAUGGUCUUCAAAGGAUGUUCUGAUGGAGCUGAUUCCAUGCUUAUAGAUUGCAGGUAGCAGCAGGUGUGGAUGGUGCUUGGAACAUCUGCAUGGGUGUCUGGUGCUGCACCUGAGCUGCUGGCGAGGUGUCCUCUGGUUUUGGUCCCUGGGGUCGUGCUGGUACUGCUCUG
Molecule: long non-coding RNA, 270 nt
Organism: Neopsephotus bourkii (Bourke's parrot)
Lineage: Eukaryota; Metazoa; Chordata; Aves; Psittaciformes; Psittacidae
Exons: 2
Source: RefSeq, a predicted model, not a curated record